This 489-nucleotide ribosomal RNA is filed under the name uncultured bacterium. RNAcentral describes it as "partial 16S ribosomal RNA". It matches the Rfam family "Bacterial small subunit ribosomal RNA", at positions 28 to 507 of the family's 1533-position model. The record is from RNAcentral.
GACGAACGCUGGCGGCGUGCUUAACACAUGCAAGUCGAACGGAAAGGCCCCCAUCUUGGUGGGGGUGCUCGAGUGGCGAACGGGUGAGUAACACGUGGGUGAUCUGCCCUGUACUUCGGGAUAAGCUUGGGAAACUGGGUCUAAUACCGGAUAGGACCAUGGUUUAGUGUCUCAUGGUGGAAAGAUUAUUGUUUUGGUGCAGGAUGAGCUCGCGGCCUAUCAGCUUGUUGGUGGGGUAAUGGCCUACCAAGGCGUCGACGGGUAGCCGGCCUGAGAGGGUGGACGGCCACAUUGGGACUGGGAUACGGCCCAGACUCCUACGGGAGGCAGCAGUGGGGAAUAUUGCACAAUGGGCGCAAGCCUGAUGCAGCGACGCCGCGUGGGGGAUGACGGCCUUCGGGUUGUAAACUCCUUUCGUUAGGGACGAAGCCGCACUUUUUUUGGGUGUGGUGACGGUACCUUUGUUAAGAAGCACCGGCUAACUACGUG